Long non-coding RNA from Leptopilina heterotoma, 617 nucleotides. RefSeq lists it as uncharacterized. The transcript is spliced from 2 exons. The record is from RefSeq and is a predicted model, not a curated record. Lineage: Eukaryota; Metazoa; Arthropoda; Insecta; Hymenoptera; Figitidae.
AGUACAGAAUUUUUGUUUCGCCAAAGCUUGGACAAGCCACGGCGGCAAGUGCUGGCUGAGUAUAGAAAAAUUAUUAUAUUAAAUUAUUAGUAUUAAUUAUUAGUAUUAUUAUACAAGGUGAUCUGAAAAUCGUAUUCAAAAUUGUAGAAUUAGAUUCAGAAAAAAAUUCUAAGACAGCACUUUUUCUUUUUUUUAUGAAAUUCUAAAUAGUUUUAAAAUAAAUUCAAAUUAAAUGAAUUGAAAAGUCACGAUAAAUGUAAAGCAUUUGAACACCAUUUUUGUCAUGCGGCAAACUUCUCUAUAAAAAAAGUAAACAGAAGGAAUGACUGACUUCUGCCUAAAUGUUAUGAAGAAACAUUUAUCAAUUAUUAGAGAAAAUCACUUGAAGGGCAAAAGCUAUUUUUAUUUUCAAUUACAGGAAAGAAUUUAAAUUGCAAAAAGAUGUGCACAUGAAAUAAAUAUAUAAAUAAAAUAUUGGACUUUGUAAGGGAAGGAAUUUACCAUUACAUGAUUGAAAGAUAAAACAUAAAUAUGAAACUGAAAUUAAAGAAUUGAGAGAAAAAAUGGAUCGUAAGAACUGUAAAAUAAAGAUAUGCAGAAAUUCAAUGUAGAGAAGA